UUGCCUAUUUUGGAUUAACAGUUCAGAGC
This 29-nucleotide non-coding RNA is filed under the name Mus musculus (house mouse). The record is from RNAcentral. Lineage: Eukaryota; Metazoa; Chordata; Mammalia; Rodentia; Muridae.